GAUGAACGCUGGCGGCGUGCCUAAUACAUGCAAGUCGAGCGAACAGACGAGGAGCUUGCUCCUCUGACGUUAGCGGCGGACGGGUGAGUAACACGUGGAUAACCUACCUAUAAGACUGGGAUAACUUCGGGAAACCGGAGCUAAUACCGGAUAACAUGUUGAACCGCAUGGUUCAACAGUGAAAGACGGUCUUGCUGUCACUUAUAGAUGGAUCCGCGCCGCGUUAGCUAGUUGGUAAGGUAACGGCUUACCAAGGCAACGAUGCGUAGCCGACCUGAGAGGGUGAUCGGCCACACUGGAACUGAGACACGGUCCAGACUCCUACGGGAGGCAGCAGUAGGGAAUCUUCCGCAAUGGGCGAAAGCCUGACGGAGCAACGCCGCGUGAGUGAAGAAGGUCUUCGGAUCGUAAAACUCUGUUAUUAGGGAAGAACAAAUGUGUAAGUAACUAUGCACGUCUUGACGGUACCUAAUCAGAAAGCCACGGCUAACUACGUG
RNAcentral lists this ribosomal RNA (497 nucleotides) under uncultured bacterium. RNAcentral's name for it is "partial 16S ribosomal RNA". It matches the Rfam family "Bacterial small subunit ribosomal RNA", at positions 28 to 507 of the family's 1533-position model. The record is from RNAcentral.